This 97-nucleotide Y RNA is filed under the name Sorex araneus (European shrew). RNAcentral's name for it is "Y RNA (ENSSARG00000015212.1)". It matches the Rfam family "Y RNA". Rfam says of the family: Y RNAs are components of the Ro ribonucleoprotein particle (Ro RNP), in association with Ro60 and La proteins. The Y RNAs and Ro60 and La proteins are well conserved, but the function of the Ro RNP is not known. In humans the RNA component can be one of four small RNAs -- hY1, hY3, hY4 and hY5. Lineage: Eukaryota; Metazoa; Chordata; Mammalia; Eulipotyphla; Soricidae. The record is from RNAcentral.
GGCUGGUCCGAUGGUAGUGGGUUAUCAGAACUUAUUAACACUAGGAUCACUAAAGUUGGUAUUCUACCUCCCCACUGCUGAAUUUGACUGGCUUAAA